ACACGGACCAAGGAGUGCAAGAGGCGUGCGAGUCUUUGGGUGUCUAUCAGACCCUGGGGCGCAAUGAAAGUGAAGGGGGCCACGUGUUCCCGAGGCGAGAGCCUGGCCGUGUUGCUGGGCCCAUCGUCGACCGAUCCCGGGCUGCUCUGCGGUGGGAUUCGAGUGAGAGCGUGCCUGUUGCGACCCGAAAGAUGGUGAACUAUGCCUGAAUAGGGCGAAGCCAGAGGAAACUCUGGUGGAAGCUCGCAGCGGUUCUGACGUGCAAAUCGAUCGUCAAAUUUGGGUAUAGGGGCGAAAGACUAAUCGAACCGUCUAGUAGCUGGUUCCCUCCGAAGUUUCCCCCAGGAUAGCUGGAGCCCGGUGCAGUUUUAUCAGGUAAAGCGAAUGAUUAGAGGUCUUGGGGUUGAAACAACCUCAACCUAUUCUCAAACUUUAAAUGGGUAAGAAGCUCGGCUUGCUCGGUUGAAGUCGGGCGUUGGAAUGCCGGGGCUCCUAGUGGGCCAUUUUUGGUAAGCAGAACUGGCGAUGCGGGAUGAACCGAACGCCGGGUUAAGGUGCCCGAAUCGACGCUCAUCAGAUCCCAUAAAAGGUGUUGGUUGAUCUAGACAGCAGGACGGUGGCCAUGGAAGUCGGAACCCCGCUAAGGAGUGUGUAACAACU
RNAcentral lists this ribosomal RNA (660 nucleotides) under Hymeraphia verticillata. RNAcentral describes it as "eukaryotic LSU rRNA". It matches the Rfam family "Eukaryotic large subunit ribosomal RNA", at positions 659 to 1290 of the family's 3401-position model. The record is from RNAcentral. Lineage: Eukaryota; Metazoa; Porifera; Demospongiae; Axinellida; Raspailiidae.